CCUGAGUGACAAAGGUUCCAAAGAGUCCAGGGUCCCCAAAAAGGCUACUAAAAGGGGCGAGGCUUGUGGGAGGAGCAGAGUGGGGCCACAGAGAACCCAGGGCUUGAAAUAAGACCCUGAGACUCCAAGGGUCUUCACACCUACGGGCCCAGGUCUGGCACUGUGUCCAACAGUGCUCACCGAAGUGUUUUGUGUUUUUUGCCUCUUUCCUUUUUGUUAUUGUUGUUGUUGUUGUUGUUUUAUUAACAGGACCUCUCUGUGUAGUUCUGGCCCGCCUUGAACUCGCUGUGUGGCCCAGGCUGGCGAUGAACACGUGAUCAUCCAGCCUCAGAUCCUGAGUACAGACGUGCACCAUCACACUCAACUAAGGUUUUAAAAGGCCAAACCACUGUGGAAGAAAGGGGUAGAAAACUGGAAGGCCAGAGGCUCUCACAAUGGGAAAAGAGGGUCCAUUUCACAAGGAAAACAGCAACAUGACUUCACCAGCACAUAAAGCCGAGAAUGUUUCAACAGAAGAGGAAACAGCCUAGGGGAAAGUUAUACAAGGAGUAAGUGGAAGCCCAGAUCCUAGAGACUGGAGCUGCGGUCCUCCUCUGGAGGAGGGACCUGCCUGCACACUGCGGAAGGACGGCAGACCACAUCUGCACAGAAGAAAGCACUGGGCAGACAUGUGGCUAAGCUCUCUGGGAAGAGAGCUCCAUGUGUGGAUCUUGCACCUUUCAUCGUGAACAGGGAGGAGAGAAACAGAUGAGGUGUCUUUAGCAGGAGUAAGAAACAAGCCAUCCAGGAGAAGGACCACCACCAUACACACAAACUAGUGUUGGGUGGAUAGGGCUGGGAAAUGCGGUGAAGAUGAAGUCAGAACUAGUGAGGACCCAGCCCAGCCUGACCUACCUCCAUUAUCCCCCAGCUCAUUCCUGAAUGUCCUCCUGAGGGUCCCAGAAUUCCAGUUUGUAACACUAAGAGUGUUAAGGUGGCUUCAAGCGUGAGAGGACAGUUCACUGUAUAGCAAAUAUGGCCAAGGUCAAACCCAAGUUGAAGCCAGCACUUCAGGCACUCCUGCUCCCCCAAGAUGUGGCCUAGAGCAGGUGCUGCACAAAGGGCUUGUUGCCACAAAGGGGUCCAACUGCCACCAAGAAAAAAAAAAGGUCCCUGUUUAGUUUUUCCCUGGCUGAUUGUGUGGUCCUUGUGGAGCAUUCCCCAGAGCAGCUGCCAGCGCUCAGCAUGGGAUCUGGCCCAACCCCGCUCUGCCCUGGGAGUGCAAUCAGCCUACGGGCUAGGAAGGUCCCUUGGAAGGAACUCCUAGCUAGGAGCAGAAUUCCUGCCAUUUGUGCCUCUGCAGAGCCACUGUAAGAGAAGCAGGCUAGAAAAUGUUCGGAUGGGGAGAGAGAAGUACACGGAGAUGAAAAGCCCAGCCAAGCCAUGCAGCAAGAGGGCAGAGACCUGGCUUCUCAAGCCACAGUGAUGGCUGCACCGGAAGUCUUUGCCUCUCCUGACCCACCCACACCCUUCUCAGCCCUGCUCUGAGCCCCUGAAGUCUCCCUGUGUAGACAGCAGAAAGAGCUGAAGGGAGAGAAAAGAGAGUAGGGACAAACUCCCUGCCUGUGAGGUCACUGCAGCCUAUUUCCCUCCCUCCACCCACGGUCACUGUGUCCUUUGGGGUGGUCCCUUCUAUACUAUUCUUGUUCCCUGGAGCAUUCCUCCUUUGUGACUUCACCCACUGAAGCCACCCAGGAAACAAUGCUCAAUGUUCCAUCCUAGAGUCUUAACCUCUUAGGAAGCAAGGACAGCAGGCCUGGCCAGCCCAGAGGACUCUGUCCACAGUGUACCUGAGGUCACUGCUGCUUCAUAUCCUGCAGAGAUGCAGAAGGCAGCCUCAGAGGCACUGGGCGCUCCUAGCACCAUAGAUGAUACUGCCAUCCUCAAGCACUGAGGCUACAUCAUGGAGGCCUGCCACGGUCCUCUAGGUGGAAGACAGCAAAGAGCCUAGAAGCAUCUGGCCACAGACCAUCCAGGAGUCAUCCUGGGCAGGAAGACUGCAGCAGGAACACCUGCUGUGUAAUUUACAGAUGGACAAAUACCUCAGUGAACUGUCUGAAAGCACAGCACUCAGGGCAGCAGGCCCAGGUGACUGAAGCCCACUUUUCCACAGCUGGCUCCAUCCUGUUAGACAACCCUGGCUCGGUCAUCUUUAGUGACCCUUCAAAGGCUUCAGAUCAUGGUCUCCAGUUGCUCCCCAUGGUCUAUUCAUGCUCUUUUCAAGCAAUGAUCCUCAGGCCAUCAUGGCCACUACCCGUCCUUAUCCUGCUCCACAUGGGUAGUUCCUCAGACCCAGCCUCACCCAACUUCCCUCAGGUCUGUGCCCCUGUGCUCACAGCUCUAUGAUCCUGGACCUUUGCAAAGCCCCCACGAUGUUCUCACAUCGAUUGCUGUGACACUGAGCCUCCCUGACCUUUUGGCUCCAGCAAGCCAUGGUACUGUCAACACUAGCUCAUCAGUGACCCUCAGCACCUAGAACAGACCCUCAAAUGCUUGUAGAAUGGAUGGGUCAAUCAUAUCCACUUUCAGGAAGAAAACCAAGCACAGAGGGCAGUAGAUUUCCCAGAAUCUCUGGGGCCUAGGUGCAUAGGACUAAAAUCACCCUGGAGGUCCCCCUUCCCAUCUAAUCCCCUCCCUUGAAGACAGCAAGUGUCCCAGCACUGUGUGCACAUCUGGGAUGAAGGCCACCUACUCCGUGCCCCAGCAACUCUGCCUGUGCCAAGCUGACACCUGCCUCUUCCAGCAUGUCCUGCGUGAUCCAAAGACCACACUGUCCUGGGCAAGAGUGUGAUGUGAGGGAAGAGAAUCCACAGAAGAGAGAGACUGAGUUGAUAGAGUCAGCUGAGUACACCGGCUAUUUCCACCCCUAAAGAAAGGACUGGGAUGGAGUCUCAGUGCAGUGGCUCGGUGUCAGAGGCUCUCCUGGGACCUGGCAUUUUGGAGAGAGAAGAAUUGCUCUCCUAACAGCCCUUAAAAGUGGAGAACACUCUUUCUACUAUCCUGUAUGAAGUAUCUAGCAGGACCUAGGGCUGCGAGGCCCUUUAGAUAGCGUCAUCAUUAAUCUUUCAAGGACUGAAAGAGGUAGGGAAAACUGUUCCUGUUUAAUAGAUAAGCCGACUAAGACCAGGAAAUUGACAAUCACCUAGACUCAUUUUCUUGAAGGGUAGGUUAGAAUUCAAUCUGUCUUUCUGGCCCUGAUGACAGUGUUUGAACCUGUCCUGGCCUCUGAUCUGCCUGCAGCCCUCCCCAGUCCGGCCCUCACUGGAGGACCUGCCAACAUUAUCCAAGGCAGACAAUGUGGACUACCCAGGCCUCUCCAGAGGUUUUCAUCCUAUUCAAAAGCCAACAUGGCCUCCAACCCUUAUGCCUUCAGCUCUUCAAUUCAUUUCAGAAAUUCUCCCUUCCCAGUGGUCAAGGGCCAACACGAUCCCUAUUGGGUUAAAGAGUAGGUGACAUGGGCAGGCCUGGAGGAUAGAGGCAGCCAAGGCAUCAGAGGCCAGAAGAGCAGUUUUCCGAGUCAGAGGCAGGCUUAUCAUCAAUGCCUGUCACAGCCAUCACCUACUGUGUGCUGGCCAGGGCUGCCUUGGGUUGGGCACUUUUCCUGCACUCCUGACUUCCAGAAUCUUCCCACCUGUUAUUGGAGACGUGCUUUUUAAGAUCCUUGUUUCACAGAGCAGGAAGCCACAUCUCUGUGUGGGAAUAUGACCUGCCCAGAGCAUGGGUCCCAAGUGCUAUGAUGACAGAGAUGAUAAACUUGGACUUCCUUGUGUUAGACUCGGUAUAAUAGUGAAGACAGCACAAGACUUGACCUCACUUCUCCAGCCAGCCUGAGGCCAGGCCUCCCAGACUAAGGUCCUCGCCCCCAGGGAUUUCCGGGUGGGAACAGAACCCAUGGCUGCAGGCAGAUGUCUGGUCGUCACUAGGGACUGUCACCCCAUCUGUGUACAGAAGGCUAUCACAGUAGACUUGCUGCCCAUCAUCCUGGGAUUCUUCUGUGAGAUUCAAAUAGAAAUCAUAAAUCCACAAAGUGCAGUACUGCUAACAUUCCUGACAUCACCAGAUGGCACCAGGUAACGCUGGAUGCCGACAGCUGACACAGCCAGCUGCUGACCUCUGCCAUGGCCGGCUGCUACCAUCAAGGGCCAGCUUCUGCUGGACAGCGUAGGUUGGCUCUACCAGGUUCUGACCUCUGCCACUGGUCUUUGUUGGCUGCUGGUCUCUGGAGCUCUUCAGUGUUAACAGCUCUGAAUGUUUAUUGCUUUUUUUUUAAGCAAGCAUUUUGUUCACACUACUCAGGUUUAAAAAAAAAAAAUCCCAAAUAGAUUUACAGGAUUUUUGGAGCCCGUACUACCAAAGAUAUAAAUCAUGAGCAGGUUUACAGGAACACCAAAGUGAACUUAAGUAAACUUAACAAGGCCUGUGCUGUAGCACGGUGGGGUCAGUACACAGGAGGGAGCCCUCCUAGACUAACACCCAAGAAGUGGCUGGGGACUGCUACUUACUCAGCAGCUGCAGGCUUGUUUCACUGAGGGGCAGGGCUGAAAGUUUGCUAGGAAUGGUGGAUAUGGAAAUAAAGGACCUCAGUCCCUCCUUUCCCCACCUCAGCUGCUCCAGGGUGCCCUCUUCCUUCUCCAAAAAGGCAAAUAUAUGCUCUGAAGUAGCAGGAAUUGGGAAAGGGUACCAUGCUGACUGGCCAUGCUCAUGUUAGAGUGGAGAGUGGAGGUUUGAUAACUAGGGAGGAACCUGAAGCAAGUUGCCCCAUCCCAUUCAUGGGGCGAGAGGAUGCAAAGGAAGGCCAGGGGCAGGGGGCAUGACCACUACCAGUCAAGCUACAUCCCCCUCCAGCCAGCGUGGAAAAAAAAAAGGGAAACUUGAGAGUUUCUCUUCUAUCUCAAUCUGAGCAUCACAAAAGCCAUCUGGGCAGUGCUCUUCCCCCCAUUUUAUAGCGAAGGAGACAGAGGCCAAGAGAGAAAAAGAGGCAGUCCAGUCCCACCCAGAAUCUCUUCCUCCUCAGUAGCCCUCCCAAAUGAAAGAAAAAGGUUGUCAGCUUAGGGGUCUGGACAAGUUUAUAAGUCAUAGUAAGGAGUUUGGGGCUCUGGCUUUGGACCCAAGAUUUUAUGCCUGGUUCUGUCACUUACUCACUGAGCAAUCUAAAAUGGAUCACUUUGUGACCAUAGGUCUCAAUUUCCCUUUCUUUUCCUCAUCUGCUACUUGGGCAGUCUGUUCUGGAUGCGAACAAAUCCAGUGGGUUAGACCAACGCGGAACCUUUUGUACGGCAGCUUCUGCUAUCACCAGGAUUCAUUAGGGGAGGGACCCGGAUCCAGAGGAACCUAUGGUCCUUGGCCGCCAGCGGCUCUUUCUCAGCAUUUGGAGACUGCAUGGGGAUGUCACACACCAGCUACCCUUCAGCAGCCAAGGAACCAAAGGCAGAAAAGGGCUUUGUCCCUGGGGAGGGGGAGGCCCGGGAAAGCAUCCUAGGGAUGUGGUGAGACUUGAGACCUGCCCCAAAUAUGGUGCCUCCAAUAUGAAUAUACCUGUCAGCCCCCCAGGCCCUGAUGAGACUGCUUCCUGCCACUCCAAUUCUCUCCUAGGCUGUGUCCCUGUUUCUUUGAACUGCUUAUCUCAACACUGUGACUCUAGAAUUAAAGCCAUCAUCUUCAGCAUCA
Chinchilla lanigera (long-tailed chinchilla) is the source of this 5706-nucleotide long non-coding RNA. RefSeq lists it as uncharacterized. The record is from RefSeq and is a predicted model, not a curated record. The transcript has 3 exons. Lineage: Eukaryota; Metazoa; Chordata; Mammalia; Rodentia; Chinchillidae.